AGACUACUCCCUCCGUCUGAAAAUACUUGUCAUCAAAAUGAACAAAAAGGAAUGUAUUUAGAACUAAAAUACAUCUAGAUACAUUCCCUUUUAUUCGUUUUGAUGACAUGUAUUUCCGGAUGGAGGGAGUAUAUA
Molecule: non-coding RNA, 135 nt
Organism: Triticum aestivum (bread wheat)
Lineage: Eukaryota; Viridiplantae; Streptophyta; Magnoliopsida; Poales; Poaceae
Source: Rfam